Molecule: non-coding RNA, 577 nt
Organism: Coturnix japonica (Japanese quail)
Lineage: Eukaryota; Metazoa; Chordata; Aves; Galliformes; Phasianidae
Source: RefSeq, a predicted model, not a curated record
UGCUCUCUGAGGUGGAGGCAUCCCCGUAGGAAAUAUAUGGAGUCUUGGAGUUGCUUUGUGUUCACAUUCCCUAAUUGUGCAUAAAAAGGGGCAUCCUUCAUUAGCUUGUAAUCGAAAGUGAAUUCAGAGCUCUGAAGGUCAAGAGAUGAAAAUGCCUGUUCUGCACAGAUCAGUUGCAGUGACAGAUACAGUGAGAUACUGCAGUCCCCUCCAAAUGGCUUGUGGUGUCCUGGGUGUGUAGGAAGGUCACACAAAUGCUACAUAAAACUCUGCAGAAGAAAGAGUGCUUCAUGCAUUGACAAGUCCAAAGAUAUGGCUAAUGAACCCAGACCAGAAAUUUAGCUACUGUAAACCUGCACAUACUUGGCAGCUGUUCUGUGAUAUUCAUGAAGCACAUAUUUUUCUCCUGCAGGUAACAUCUCUUUGCCAAGCGUAUUCAGACUUAGAACAGAUAGAAAUAUUUGAUGAUCAGCUAUAUUCUUCUGUGGAAGGAAAUGUUGGUGUUUGGUGUUUUAUAUUUUUGUUGGUUUUUUUUCAUCCCAUACAUGAAAAUUGUAGUUUCUGUUUCUUACUGCCU